UGAGCUGGAAACUCCUGCUCUGCUCAC
Molecule: non-coding RNA, 27 nt
Filed under: Rattus norvegicus (Norway rat)
Lineage: Eukaryota; Metazoa; Chordata; Mammalia; Rodentia; Muridae
Source: RNAcentral